AUCUUUUUGUCUCUGUGAUCAUGUCUAGCUCUGGGCUGCUUCAAGGCAGGGGCAAGGCUUUGACAUCAGUCCAAGAAGAACCACCAAGCCCAUAUUUUGUCUGAAGCUGGAUUUGAGCUAAUGGCAAGGGAACAGCUACUAGAAACAUUACCCACUGUGAGGCUGCAGGCUCUUCCCUGCCCCCCCCAUAAGCAGAAGUACUCCUGGGUCUGAUCAGCUACUGUGGACUCUUUGUGCAAUGGGAAGUGGGCCUGCAGGAAAGCCUUGUCUACAGUGGUAGGUUAUGGUGAGUGUUUACAGGAGAAGUGAGCAUUGGGUCCAUUGGUUUCUGCAAAUUGCCUUGCUUCUCCAGAGAGAAAAGUCCUUGAAACCUACGUCUUCCAAAUAGAAGUCACUGUUGGACCCAUGUUUGGAGGUAUUCCAGCCCUCAUGAAGGAUUGAAAGACACAGAUGGGAGCAGAGAGACAGUCUGACGAAAUGCUGUCUGAUGCGGAAGUGUGGAUGAAGCAAAAGUGUGUAGCUGAAUUUCUCCAUGUGGAAAAAUUGCACCCAAUGACAUUCAUCAAUGUUGCUGAAUAUUUAUGGAGACCAAAGAGUGGAUGUGAGCACAGCAAGGAGGUAAAAACACCAGAAAGAGAGAAGGAGGAAAUGAAAAGGAGCAAGAAACAGUGAAGGGAAUACCAAGGUCAGAGGAGGAGCUCCGUGCUGGAGAAGAUGUUCCUGAAGAAACUGCAGUCCAUGAAGAGAGCCCGCACCGGAGCAAGGUAAAAAGUGUAAGGCAAAGAUCAGGAGAGAGACAUUUCUAAACCUCUGUGCUCGAAUCGAAACUGGAUUCUGGAGUGGAGGAGCGAAGUUGGGUAUGGCAGAAGGAGGAAAAAAGGAGUUGUUUCAAUUAUCCUUGUGUCUCACUACCAACAUGGAGCCUCUCAACUCAAGGAAAUCCAGGAAAAGGCAUCCCAGGGAAAAUAUCAGUUAGAGCAUUCACUGAUUACUUGAACAAAGAGAAGGCAUCUGCAUGCUCCCCAAAACUGUUAUCUUUUUGUAGCUUCUCCGUUAGAAAUGACUCAUGGUGGAAGGAAAAUUGAAGAUUUUCUGACAAUGACACCUUUUAGAGGCUGUUUACAGUUAAUUGAACAUGGCUCUAACAACAUCUUACUUAUAGUUGUGUUCUUUCCUCAAAGGAUGUAAACUUGCUUCCAAGUUCCGAUUUCAUUUCAGCUAUAGCACGUAUAGCAUGCUUUCCUAGCUCUAAAUACCAUGGGAAAUUUCGGUCAACUCUUACAGUAGAAGAGGAAUCACAAAGCCUCUUUCCCUAAUUAGCUACUUACUUAUUUGUAGACUAAAGUCUUCUAAAUGUGAACCCAUCUCUUUCUCGGAUUCUUGUUUGGUUUUUUUUUUUUUUUUUCCUGCCAUGGCUUGCAGUACACAGAGAUGUCAUUUAACUUUUCCAUCCUCUUUGACAAUAAAGAGGCUGCAGUGAGGCGGGUAGUGAAUCAAGACAGAUUCUUGCCCAUAAACACUCAUUUUGGAGAGUGAGGAGAGGUCAAGAGAGAAUGUCUCUCUCAUCCAGCAGAUUGUUCCUGCUGGAGUGCCACUUCUAACGUAAAGAAUUCCCCAAGUCUUUACAAGGUACUAUGAAUUAACCUCUAACUCAUUUGUACUCUAGAAUGUUUCCAUCCAUUUAAGCUAUCAAGGGAUUUGCUAUGAUUCUAAUGUGUCAUUACAAAAGUCCUUUAAAAUAUUUCAAUCCUGAUUUAAACUUUAACUCUUCAAAGAACUUUAACUGCACCGUGUAAAUUUAUGAUGACCAUAUGAAAGGUGUCAGGCUCAUGAUAAAAUUCGGAGACAAUCCAGAAAAAAAAAAUUAAUUGGAGUACAAAUUACUCUUCAGUGUUACUAUCUGUUCCCAGACAAAAUAUCUCCAACGUGUCUCCAGGGCAAAUCUGACAGAAGCGCGGCACCCUUCCUCAUGUGUCUGUGCACAUUCUGAAGAUGGUGGUAACCUCCACAAAAUCCUGUAAAGAAUUCACUUAAAGCCUUUCUGCUCUUCAGCAUGAUCUUGUGAAGUUUUGCAAGAUGUGCAGAGUUGUAGUAAGCAUUUGAACAUCAAAUCAUCCUUAGAAAAGCAAGGUUAUUUCCACAGGUCAUGUGGAAACACUGUAUUUUGGGCUUUGUAACUGAAGAAAAAGUUAAUUCUGACUUGAUCCUUAAACUGUUCCCGAUAAACUGAUGAUGUUGGAAAAAUCAUUUAAUAGAAUGUGAGCACGUUUCCCCAAACCUGUUAUUUCUCUCUCAAAUAAAAAUAAUUAUUUUCAUUCUCAUGG
Molecule: long non-coding RNA, 2324 nt
Filed under: Gallus gallus (chicken)
Lineage: Eukaryota; Metazoa; Chordata; Aves; Galliformes; Phasianidae
Description: lncRNA (ENSGALG00010006938.1)
Source: RNAcentral